RNAcentral lists this long non-coding RNA (805 nucleotides) under Bos taurus (domestic cattle). RNAcentral's name for it is "long non-coding RNA NONBTAT016554". Lineage: Eukaryota; Metazoa; Chordata; Mammalia; Artiodactyla; Bovidae. The record is from RNAcentral.
UUAUACCUUUUUCCAUUAGUUAGUAAAUAAUCACAGUUCACAAUUUAUUUAGGGGUUUUUUUUCUAAGCCAGUAAUAAAUUCUAUCUUUACUACAUGCAAAAAGGGGGGGGGGCGAUGAAGGAAUACAAGAAAAUUCCCCUGUUCUGAUUUUAAAGUGCCUGUUCAGUUGUUAUAGGGCAUUUGGCCCAAUUUGAGGGGUUUGGAUUUAAUUUGCUUCUGAUGUUUCUUUUGGAAACAUUUAGGGAUAUUUUUCUUCCUCUAUCCCAUAAAUUGUUCAGCACUUUUAAUUUCAUUUAUUUUUAAAUGACCACACUAAAACUACUGAUACAAGUUCCAGUAUUCUAGAAAAACCCAUCAGUGGUUGAGGAAUAGAAUAUUUCAGUUAAAUACAUGAUUAUUUAAAACGUCAAGCCAAAAACAUUAACCUAAUUGAAUUAAAGCCAUAGAAACACAAUAACCUUUAUAUGAGUAAUUUGUUUUUAAAUGUAUGACUCUCUAAUUACUGUAUUUCAUUUUAUAGGGUUAUCCAAUAAGUGGACUACUUAUCUUCGUAUGGUUCGCUUCUCAUGAAUUAUUUUUCUUACAAAUAAUUACAUGGUUCACGAGAUGAGACUAGCACAUUAUCAAGCCCAGGUGACCAGCUUAAUACAAAGGCAAAGAAAACACUGAUUUUCUGACAGCUCUUCCAAAAGAUCAGCCAUUUUAUUUUCAUCAUUAAAAAGCAAGUUUUGAUUGUUUAGGAGUUUCUUGUGAUGAAAAAUCCAGUAAACAGGUAGGAAAGUCUGGGUGCCAGUGUUGUAGCAU